RNAcentral lists this long non-coding RNA (723 nucleotides) under Triticum aestivum (bread wheat). RNAcentral's name for it is "long non-coding RNA (TAES_LNC010725)". Lineage: Eukaryota; Viridiplantae; Streptophyta; Magnoliopsida; Poales; Poaceae. The record is from RNAcentral.
ACACAUCGAUCAAGCUUGUGUAGCUUCGCUCCAGAGCUAAAUUUCAGGUAUCUCCCUCUCCUGAUAUAGCAGUAAUUAGAAUAAGCUUUUUGUAUACCCUUUAUUUGCAGAUUCAUUUUUAUGUGAGUAGUAGUAGGAGUUUCGAGUUAUUUUUGGUAAACUUGGUUAGAAUUGACUAGAUUGUGACAUGUUACUCAAUUGUUUCCAUCAGAUCAUCUUCUCAAGUAUUCCAGCUUGUGGCGCUCGGAGAUCUGUUCAAGAAGAAUGGGAAAACGCACCCCCAACAGCGUCAAGAAGAGCAUCUGGCAGAUCUUCUGUGGCUGCUCAUCACCGAAGACCAAGGACUAGUGAAAAUGCCAUGACUCACGUCAUGGACCUUGCAUCGCAUUGGUGAAAUUUGGUCGACCAACCGAAGUUUAAUUUAAGUUAUGGGUGUGAUUAUAAUGUAAGAAUGAUAUUGCGAAGUUGAUUGGUUUCUAGUGAUUUUGACGGGCUAGCCGCUAGCUUCCCUCUGUGGCAAGGAAAAUGUAAAAGAGUGUAAUGUAACCAUAUUCCGUAAUAAACCCCCUUGUAUUUUGUUAUGUGUCAUGUGUGGGCAUCAUCAUGAUAUGUUGUGUUGUUUCCUAGAAAACAUAAGUCACGUUUGUUGACGAUAUACGAGAUUUACUGCUCAAGAGUGGUUGGUGUCCUACACACUUACCUAUGAAUAAAAUAAAAUAAAAA